AGGAGGGCGGGCCCGUGGAGCUGUUCGCCGUGCGGGCGGAUCUUCUCUUAACUUUCCGACCUGGGAUGGAUCUGGUGCUCAACUCCAGGUAAUCACGCUCCAAUGGCCAUGGUCCAGCUGCAGGUACGAAGCAGGCGUCUGUGUUGAUUUUAAUAUGACCUGGAUAUGAUUUCUCCAAGAAAUACAUGAGUAUCUAUGUCAGUUAUUUUACGAACGGGAACAAACUGUUCUGGAAUGAUCUUCCUUUUUCCUUUGCGAUCGAUCGUGUUCGUUCAGCCAUUCUUGAUCAGAAUAAUACUGUUUCAUUAAUUUUUAAUGAAAGUAGCUGAGUUACUAACUGAAGCGUCGCCUUUGCCAUAGAUGCGCGGACCACGCCCUCCACCAUAAGAAAAGAAGCUUAGCUCUCUGGUUCAUUGUUCAAGAUAUUCAGCACCCACUCAUUCCCUGUUUUCAUGAGCUUCCGUUUUUUAGCAUGGAAUGUCGAGCUUGAUAAAUAUUGUAUCAUCAUCAUGGAUGAAGUACAUGAAAGAUUCAUUAAUACUGAAGCUUUGUCUGGUAUACUGAAGAAGGUUGUUGCAACACGAAAUGAUUUUAAGCUAAUUUUCUCAUCUGCAACUAUAAAUGAAAAUAUAAAUGCAAAUCUUUGGAGGUAUACCUGUAUUUAACAUUCCAUGUAGGACAUUUUCAACUAAGAUCUUGUUCAGGAAAGCACUGUGUGAAGAUUAUGUGGAAGCGUAUGUGAAUCUUUAAGAUAUUGAAGAAGGUUUUUACUGCUGAGAGAUAUUAACUUCGACUUGUAAAGAAUAUCAGCAGAGGAAGUUGGCACUUAGGAGCCACUGUCCAAGCCUCAGUGUACUGCACGACAAUUCUCCCUAGCAUUUGUCAUCAUUCCUGCUGGUCCAGGGGCCCAUGCUCUUCUUUUUGUGUGUAGAUUGAUCAUGUGUACAAUGAGUAAGAAAUAAGUACUGCUAUAAUCAAAUAUUAUGCUAAGAAGUAGCAUUUAAUAUUCUAACAUGUUUAUGAUCAUUGUUGUUUAUUGUAUUUGUUGUUUAAAACCUCUUCAACUAUCUUCUUAUGACCUUUUGUUUAAUAGGAAAGAAUUUUUCUACCUUAGGCAUUCAAAAAACUGACGGUGCUCAAAGUACAAGAUGCCCAUGUAGAAAUAAGGCAUGAUGUAUUCUUUGGUACUUGUUUUCCUGCAUCUCACACUCCAUAGCAGUGGUCUUUCUUUUAUUUGUAUAGAUACCGCUGGCUCAUAAGUGGUUUUCAGCAGGCUACCCAUUUCGUGAUGAUUAGAACAAGGUUCUACCAUGUUCAAUCUAAAUAUCCGUGGGCUUCUUACCUGCAUAUUUUAAGAAACAAAAGUUGGCAAUGAAUCUCGAGAUACUUAAUUAUGUGUUCGGUAAGAUGUCACGGCUUGGUAAGUUGUCGAUCUGUACCAUGUUAAUUAAGUUUUCUUAUUCACUCUAAAGGAUCAUCAUGUGAUUAGUAGAUGUGAGAACCAAAUUAUAACUUGGAGCUUUAGAAGAACCUAAACUAAUAUUGUUAGUGACAGGAGUUUCAGAGAUUGAAUAGUGAGCUUCUUGAUUACAGUUGGAUAUAAUAUAUUGCUUGGUGUUCGUGCUGAUUUAUACGUGUUGGAAAUAUGCCCUAAUUUUUUUUUACAAUGCACUUGUCUUUCAAUCCUAUAAUAAAUCGGUGUAAACAUAGAAGGACUAAAACAAUGGUUUCAUUAUUGGGAAUUUUAUGUGCCAUGUGCUCUUAUACUUUUCGCAUGAAAGUUUGAAGAUAAUCUGAAAAAAUCUCUUGUUGGAAACUCGGCUAUUGCUUUGUAGAAAUACAUUUAUCUAUAGGAUUCUCUAACGUCUUGAUAGGUUUCACUUUUCAGAAUUAAAAGAAAGUAUCUAUAGUAUAAGAUUCCUAUUUUAUAAAUUUUCUCUUACUUUCACCAUCGUAAUUUCUGGUCCAGGUACCUAUCAACUUAAGUUUUCUCGCUGUGAUAUUACUAUUAAUUUUUAUAGUUUUUUGCAAGUUAAAGUUCUACCAUGAAUUGGGUUUGGGUUCCUUUGGCAUACUUCCGCUGGUGUGGAGGUCAUAUGUGCAGAGAUGGAGCAUCAACGGGCGUGCCUACAGCUAGAAAGACGCAUCACGGGAGACCUACAACAUGCUCUGCCAGGGGAGCACAAACUGGAGAAUGAACACACCCAUCUAGGACUCGGUUGCAACCCUUAAAUGCAAAUUCUUUUGCUGGUUGGCGAUACGACACAGGUUGUGGACCUCCGAUCGCAGAGUGAGGCAUGGCUUGCAAGAACACCCUUACGUUUGCUUCCCCUGUCUCCAGGUCGAGGAUAAUGUGGAUCACAUUCUGGUUCAAUGCCCUUACGCGGGGCAAGUCUGGCUAGGCUGCUUUUCUAGAGUGCAGCUACAGAUACAGGGAUCACAACAACAACAUGGAGAUAACCUGGAGCGGUGGUGGACUGAAUCUAGGAAAGGAGUGCGUAGGUUUAACAGAACGAGAUUCAACUCUCUGAUCCUGGUGGCAUGGACCCUCUAGAAGGAGAGGAAUGCGAGAGUGUUGAAUAGCUAUGAACAACAACUAAACUCGGAGCAGAUUAUUCACCGGAUUGCAGAAGAGUUUCAGUUAUGGGAGCUAGCUAGGAGAGGAGGGAGCAACGAUCAAUCACAAGAGUACACUUUUCGUAGGAAGGCUGUUGGUGUGUGUGUGUGUUCGGGAUGUGUGUCUCCAUAUACAGAUGGUUGCUUUUCGUAGGAAGGCUGUUGGUGUGUGUGUUCGGGAUAUGUGUCCCCAUAUACAGAUGGUUGCAUUAGCCCUCGAAUUCUUGUAAUUACUAUGCUUCUUCUAUAAAGAUAAGUCAAGUUGUGUGUGU
Long non-coding RNA from Lolium rigidum, 2888 nucleotides. RefSeq lists it as uncharacterized. The record is from RefSeq and is a predicted model, not a curated record. The transcript has 5 exons. Lineage: Eukaryota; Viridiplantae; Streptophyta; Magnoliopsida; Poales; Poaceae.